AGAUUCCGUAGUAUCUCGACGCUUUUAAGCGUCGAGAAUUUUGGCUACGCUUUUAAGCGUCCUCAUUAACUGCUUAAUAACAUUAUAGAAAUCCUAGUAUCACUCCCGCGCCUAAAAUUUCAGAGAAAAUAAUUAAAUGAUAAUUUGUUUUCAAAAAAACCCCACUCUCACUCCCAAAGCAACUGCACGCGAAAAUUGUGAGUGAAGCGCCUAAAAUUUCAGAAAAAAUAAUUAAAUGAUAAUUUGUUUUAAAAAAAACCCCACUCUCACUCCCAAAGCAACUGCACCCGAAAAUUGUGAGUGAAACACUACUGUAGAAGCUCUAGGGUAGUUAACGAAAAACGAAUCAUCUUCUUCCCACCUUCGCUCAUCAAUUGCUCACCAUAACCACCUUCUUCAUCAGAUUGCAGGUGGCCAAAGGGGAUUAAUCUUCUUCCUUUUGUAGCACCUUUGGGUGGACUAGAGUCUGUGAGAGCACGCCUUCUGUCUUGAUUGCGCUAGGAGUGAUUCAAUCUGUUGUCUGUAAGUGCUCAUAUCAUUUGAAAUGAUAGUUGGAUUGGUUUAUUAAUUUGUCUGCUAAAGAUUAUUGUUUGUAGUGAUUUUUCUUUUUACUAAAAGCUAGUUAUUGUUGUGGAAAUUAUUGUUGUUUUUAUGAUUUAAUGCUUGAUCUACUGAUUUUCUGAUGUGGGGUUGUCUGGGUUUUGCUCUAAAUUGCUGCAUUUUGUUCUCAUUGCUUUAAGGCCUGAAUUUUUUCUGCUACAUUAUGAUUUAAUGCUUGAUCUACCCAUCUUAUGUUUCUAUAUCUUACUUGAAGUCGCAGGGCCUGAUCAGAGUAUCAGAUUUUUUUUCUCUCAUUUAUUUGUUGUUCUUAUUAUGUUUUUCCUCGAAGUUUUGAAAUUCUCGCUAGCUGGAAGAAGGGAGACUUAUGGUAAAGAAUAUGGAGUGACUUAGUGAA
Beta vulgaris subsp. vulgaris (sugar beet) is the source of this 955-nucleotide long non-coding RNA. RefSeq lists it as uncharacterized. The transcript has 3 exons. Lineage: Eukaryota; Viridiplantae; Streptophyta; Magnoliopsida; Caryophyllales; Amaranthaceae. The record is from RefSeq and is a predicted model, not a curated record.